UAGGGAAUCUUCGGCAAUGGACGAAAGUCUGACCGAGCAACGCCGCGUGAGUGAAGAAGGUUUUCGGAUCGUAAAACUCUGUUGUUAGAGAAGAACAAGGACGUUAGUAACUGAACGUCCCCUGACGGUAUCUAACCAGAAAGCCACGGCUAACUACGUGCCAGCAGCCGCGGUAAUACGUAGGUGGCAAGCGUUGUCCGGAUUUAUUGGGCGUAAAGCGAGCGCAGGCGGUUUCUUAAGUCUGAUGUGAAAGCCCCCGGCUCAACCGGGGAGGGUCAUUGUAAACUGGGAGACUUGAGUGCAGAAGAGGAGAGUGGAAUUCCAUGUGUAGCGGUGAAAUGCGUAGAUAUAUGGAGGAACACCAGUGGCGAAGGCGGCUCUCUGGUCUGUAGCUGACGCUGAGGCUCGAAAGCGUGGGGAGCAAACAGG
Molecule: ribosomal RNA, 429 nt
Filed under: Gemmatimonadota bacterium
Lineage: Bacteria; Pseudomonadati; Gemmatimonadota
Description: Gemmatimonadetes bacterium partial 16S ribosomal RNA
Rfam family: Bacterial small subunit ribosomal RNA
Source: RNAcentral